GCUGGCGGCACACCUAACACAUGCAAGUCGAACGAAGUAGCAAUACUUAGUGGCAGACGGGUGAGUAACAUGUAGGUAUCUGCCCUUUGGCCUGGAAUAACACGAGGAAACUUGUGCUAAUACUGGAUAAGUCUUUACGGAGAAAGCUUUAUGCGCCGAAGGAUGAGCCUGCACUUGAUUAGUUUGUUGGUGGGGUAAUGGCCUACCAAGACUUUGAUCUAUAGCUGAUCUGAGAGGAUGAUCAGCCACAUUGGGACUGAGACACGGCCCAAACUCCUACGGGAGGCAGCAGUAGGGAAUAUUGCACAAUGGAGGAAACUCUGAUGCAGCGAUGCCGCGCUGAGUGAAGAAGGCCUUUGGGUUGUAAAGCUCUUUCGUCGGGGAAAGAAAAUGACUGUACCCGAAUAAGAAGGUCCGGCUAACUUCGUGCCAGCAGCCGCGGUAAUACGAAGGGACCUAGCGUAGUUCGGAAUUACUGGGCUUAAAGAGUUCGUAGGUGGUUA
RNAcentral lists this ribosomal RNA (503 nucleotides) under uncultured bacterium. RNAcentral describes it as "bacterial SSU rRNA". It matches the Rfam family "Bacterial small subunit ribosomal RNA", at positions 35 to 581 of the family's 1533-position model. The record is from RNAcentral.